Molecule: long non-coding RNA, 1546 nt
Organism: Myotis davidii
Lineage: Eukaryota; Metazoa; Chordata; Mammalia; Chiroptera; Vespertilionidae
Exons: 2
Source: RefSeq, a predicted model, not a curated record
CAGUGGCUUAACAGUUUUGGUCAAAUUGACUCUGCUCUGCACAAAAACGAUCCCCUCAUUCUUUUAUCCCCUCAUUUUUUUUUUUUUUAUCCAAACGUGUAACAGUGAUUAAAGGACAUGGGAACAUACUUUAUAGAGCAAGAACAAUCUUCCUAAAUGACAGGAGAUCCAGAAGCCACACGCACAAAGAUUCUAGGUUUGAUUGUGUAAGAACUUUAUUAGGUAUAGAGUCAAAGACAGUACAAACAAAAGGUUUAAACAGAAUUAGAGGGAAUCAUUAACCCAUGAAAUUCAUAUUCUUAACACACAAGUGCUCCUACAAUCACUUAGAAAAUGGCACUUCCUCCCGCCAUGGGCAAAGGGUAUGAAGAGGCAACAGGUGACUGAUGAACAUGUGGUAAGUACUCAAUCUCAGUAGGAUCAGAAGAAAUACAAGUUAAACCAGUGAAUUAUUUACACUGCAAAAGCAAAUGAAAGGAGAUGCUCUAUGUGCUGAGUGAAGAAAAAUGAAUUACAGAACCUUUUGUGAACGGCAACUUGUCGAUACCAGAAUUUUCCUGGGCCAAACCAAGAAUUUCUUUUGCAGUUAACAAAUAGCACACAGUGUAUCUCCCAACAAUGGCAAAGGCACCAAACAAGCAGAAAAGAGAGGGUCAGGAAGAAUAGCUAGACCAGGUAGAACUCUACUCAUUCCAAAAUGAAAAUCUAGCCUUGCAGAGGCUCUAUGGAUUACUGGUAGAGUCCGUCUUACCCAAUUUCCUCUACUAAAAAAAAAGGGGGUGGGGGAGCCAAAUUAAAUAAAAAUAAACAUGCCAGCAUCAUUGAAAUAGGAAAGUGAUACCACCUCAUAUCACACAUUAUGAAAAGGCGAAUACAGAAACAGCAGUUAGGGCCACACUAAAGAACAUGCCAGGAUCUUUGGCGAACUCUUCCCUCUGAUAAGAGCAGCACAAUGGAGAAAACGUAGGCAGAAGGAACUCUGAAAAAACUAGACUAAUAUAACCCAACAUGGUGGGAUGAAGGUGCUUAAAAUUCCUCUAAGAAGCCUUCAUUCUAGAUCCUCGUCUGAAGAGCAAAGGCAAGUUGGCAAUAUCUUAAAAUACGUCUAUCUUGUGAUCUACCAAUUUAUCCUCCAAAAAUACUGGUAAAACCUUACAAAAGCGUAUGUAGAAGAAUGUUAAUUACAACACUUUUUUAAAAAAAUAUAAACCCUAGACCCACAGUGGUCCCUGCCCUCGCUAAAUGCUCUAUGAGAUCUGCACUUCCGGUGAAGAUGGAAUUGGAGGGAAUAGUUUACCUUCCCACCUGAAAUACUAACAAAAUCUAUAAAACCUUGGUGUUGAAGAGACUGGUCACUGGGCAACGAAACAGGCCCAUGGGAAAUGGGAAACGAGUGAGGGGAAUACGGGACUAUGAUUCCCCCAGGGAACCACAUGCGUUAUUUCCAAGGCUGUGUGUGGUCUCUGAGUGGAGGCGAUGGCGCUGGGAAAUGAAGAGGCUGAGGAGGUUGGAGUUCACAGGAUUAAGUGCCUCAGGGCUCUUAGAG